This 515-nucleotide ribosomal RNA is filed under the name uncultured bacterium. RNAcentral's name for it is "partial 16S ribosomal RNA". It matches the Rfam family "Bacterial small subunit ribosomal RNA", at positions 28 to 523 of the family's 1533-position model. The record is from RNAcentral.
GAUGAACGCUGGCGGCGUGCCUAAUACAUGCAAGUCGAGCGAAUGGAUUAAGAGCUUGCUCUUAUGAAGUUAGCGGCGGACGGGUGAGUAACACGUGGGUAACCUGCCCAUAAGACUGGGAUAACUCCGGGAAACCGGGGCUAAUACCGGAUAACAUUUUGAACCGCAUGGUUCGAAAUUGAAAGGCGGCUUCGGCUGUCACUUAUGGAUGGACCCGCGUCGCAUUAGCUAGUUGGUGAGGUAACGGCUCACCAAGGCAACGAUGCGUAGCCGACCUGAGAGGGUGAUCGGCCACACUGGGACUGAGACACGGCCCAGACUCCUACGGGAGGCAGCAGUAGGGAAUCUUCCGCAAUGGACGAAAGUCUGACGGAGCAACGCCGCGUGAGUGAUGAAGGCUUUCGGGUCGUAAAACUCUGUUGUUAGGGAAGAACAAGUGCUAGUUGAAUAAGCUGGCACCUUGACGGUACCUAACCAGAAAGCCACGGCUAACUACGUGCCAGCCGCCGCCGUAA